Oncorhynchus tshawytscha (Chinook salmon) is the source of this 420-nucleotide long non-coding RNA. NCBI's taxonomy places the organism in Eukaryota, Metazoa, Chordata, Actinopteri, Salmoniformes, Salmonidae. The record is from Ensembl.
GGGAUGUAUAGAGGGCAUAAGGUAGUCUUUAGGAGGUCUGUGUCUGUGUGUGUGUGUGUGUGGGGGGGUUUAUAGAGGGCAUGAGGUAGUCUUUAGGAGGUCUGUGUGUGUGUGUGUGUGUGUUGGGGGAUAUAUAGAGGGCAUAAGGUGGUCUUUAGGAGGUCUGUGUGUGUGUGUGUGUGUGGGGGGUGUAUAGAGGGCAUAAGGUAGUCUUUAGGAGAUCUGUGUGUGUGUGUGGGGGAUGGGGUAUAUAGAGGGCAUGAGGUAGUCUUUAGGAGGUCUGUGUGUGUGGGUGGGGGUGUAUUGAGGGCAUAAGGUAGUCGUUAGGAGGUCUGUGUGUGUGUGGGGGGGCGGGGUGUAUAGAGGGCAUAAGGUAGUCUUUAGGAGGUCUGUGUGUGUGUGGGGGGGGGCAUAUAGAGG